AAAAAAAUUUGUGACAUUAUCCGUGUAGAAUACCGAACUUCUAAAAUUAUGAAGUUACGGUGGGAUGUAAUAUGCGGAUUUUAAUAUAAAAAGGAAAAUAAAUAAAAAUAGUAUGAGAUACUAUUUUUAUUAGAUUUAGAGAAGUGAAAUAUAAGUCUGGAAUGACCCGUGUUGAAAUCAGAGCGAAAACAGAAGAUUUAGAUUUUCUGUGAGAAACGGGGCAGAUAAAUUAGCAGAAAAUGCACAGUCUCAAAAAAUUAUGAAAAUUGGCGGGGAUGCCAAAAAUAUUUUAAUGAGGCUAGAUUUAAAGU
RNAcentral lists this long non-coding RNA (311 nucleotides) under Ananas comosus (pineapple). RNAcentral's name for it is "long non-coding RNA (ACOM_LNC023346)". The record is from RNAcentral. Lineage: Eukaryota; Viridiplantae; Streptophyta; Magnoliopsida; Poales; Bromeliaceae.